GCACUGCUGACGAGUCCCAAACAGGAUGGAACAGCUGUCCAGUGU
This is a non-coding RNA of Echinostoma caproni, 45 nucleotides long. Lineage: Eukaryota; Metazoa; Platyhelminthes; Trematoda; Plagiorchiida; Echinostomatidae. The record is from Rfam.